UAUUUGCCUUUGUUUGCGAGCGUUUCGCGCGUGUUCUCGUCCACAAGAAGAUUGAAGGUAAAAGCGUUAAAUUUACGUAAGGAAGCUUCGUUCCUCGUUUGUGCGGUGUGCAAAGAUUGCGUGCAAUUCCCGCUGUUCUCGGAGUGCCGAUGAAGUACGAGUCGUUCAAGGUAUCAACGAAAUGUGCGGGCGCUCGAAUGACUCCAUGGCUGACGCCCGUGGCCACCUGCUACACGCCAGUGCGAAAGGAACUAAAGCACUGUGGGGGCUGCAGGGUGGCUUUGCCAGUAGGAAGGGCGGAAAUUCCUGAAGAUGUAUUCAUCCAUGCUGCAUCAGCUGCUUGGUGUUUUCAUGGCAUCUCUGCACAUGUGCUGGGUUGAUCUUAAGCAGAAAACCAGAAGCGGCAGUGGUCUCCAGUAGAGACCUAAGGACCCCAAGCUCUCUGUGACACAAACAGGAAGGCUACUGUGGUGCAUUGAAAACCUGCGCCAGUAGUGCAUACCAGUGCACUAUGCUGCUGUUUCAUCAAGGAGAAAGGAGGUGACCACCCCCAGAGGAACUUCAUGCUCUACAGUAUGCCUACGGAGAACACCUCAAGGCGCAUCCAAGCAACGUCCUGGAGGCACAGCGCCACCAGAAUCUCGUUCGCCAUUUGGGGGACCUGCUUAAAGUCCUUAAGAAAUGAUUCCAGUGUGAGGCUUUCAAAACGGCA
Rhipicephalus sanguineus (brown dog tick) is the source of this 712-nucleotide long non-coding RNA. RefSeq lists it as uncharacterized. The record is from RefSeq and is a predicted model, not a curated record. Lineage: Eukaryota; Metazoa; Arthropoda; Arachnida; Ixodida; Ixodidae. The transcript is spliced from 4 exons.